AGCGGCGGACGGGUGAGUAACGCGUGGGUAACCGUGCCUCAUACAGGGGAGUAACAGUUGGAAACGGCUGCUAAUACCGCAUAAGCGCACAGUACCGCAUGGUACCGUGUGAAAAACUCCGGUGGUAUGAGAUGGACCCGCGUCUGAUUAGCUAGUUGGUGGGGUAACGGCCUACCAAGCCGACGAUCAGUAGCCGACCUGAGAGGGUGACCGGCCACAUUGGGACUGAGACACGGCCCAA
Molecule: ribosomal RNA, 241 nt
Filed under: uncultured bacterium
Lineage: Bacteria
Description: partial 16S ribosomal RNA
Rfam family: Bacterial small subunit ribosomal RNA
Source: RNAcentral